RNAcentral lists this ribosomal RNA (627 nucleotides) under uncultured bacterium. RNAcentral describes it as "bacterial SSU rRNA". It matches the Rfam family "Bacterial small subunit ribosomal RNA", at positions 554 to 1182 of the family's 1533-position model. The record is from RNAcentral.
CUGGGCGUAAGGGUGCGUAGGCGGCUUCUUAAGUCUGGUGUGAAAUCUCCCGGCUCAACUGGGAGGGUGCGCCGGAUACUGAGGGGCUAGAGUGUGGGAGAGGAAAGUGGAAUUCCUGGUGUAGCGGUGAAAUGCGUAGAUAUCAGGAGGAACACCGGUGGUGUAAACGGCUUUCUGGACCAUAACUGACGCUGAGGCACGAAAGCGUGGGUAGCAAACAGGAUUAGAUACCCUGGUAGUCCACGCCCUAAACGAUGCAUAUUUGGUGUGGGCCAUUCAUUUGGUCCGUGCCGGAGCUAACGCGUUAAAUAUGCCGCCUGGGGAGUACAGUCGCAAGGCUGAAACUCAAAGGAAUUGACGGGGGCCCGCACAAGCGGUGGAGCAUGUGGUUUAAUUCGACGCAACGCGAAGAACCUUACCUGGGCUCGAAAUGCUGUGGACCAGUCUGUGAAAGCAGGCCUUCCCGCAAGGGACCACAGUAUAGGUGCUGCAUGGCUGUCGUCAGCUCGUGUCGUGAGAUGUUGGGUUAAGUCCCGCAACGAGCGCAACCCUUGUCCUGUGUUGCCAUCAUUCAGUUGGGAACUCGCAGGAGACCGCCAGGGAUAACCUGGAGGAAGGUGGGGAUGA